Non-coding RNA from Camellia sinensis, 715 nucleotides. The record is from RefSeq and is a predicted model, not a curated record. NCBI's taxonomy places the organism in Eukaryota, Viridiplantae, Streptophyta, Magnoliopsida, Ericales, Theaceae.
ACUUUUUAUGAAAAGAAACACAGAAAAAUAGAGCAAAAUUUGACUUUUUGAUAGUGAUUUUUUAACCUUUUUUUUUUUUUGACGAAAAUAGCCUAUUGCCAAACUUAAGUUUUUAAAAAAAAUUAUUUAUUUAUUACAACAAUGUUACAUCUAUACAAAAUUUCCCUCGGAAUUUCCUCCAAAUGUGCGGUUAGAAUCAUUUUCUUACCGGUCAUAACACGUUAUGGAGGGAUUUGGACGGAAAAAUUAUAUGGAUAAAUCAUUUUUGUACUUAAACUCAAAUAGAAGAGAGAAAAAAAAAAAAAAAAACUCAAUCCUAGAUUAUACAAGUUUAAUUACUAAUUUUACAACUAAAAAUAUGAGAAAAGUAAUGUUUAAGUGAUAUUUUGUUAUAAUUUAUUUAAUUAUUUGAUAUUAUAAUUUUAAAUUAUUUUACUAUUAUUUUCUCAAAAGCAAGCUAGACCAUCUAGUCAGGGCCGUGGGUCUACCAUGGUAACAGUUCAAUGAUAUGAUACGUUGAUCUUUUAAGUCUUUUGUAAGUUUUUUUGGGUGGGUAAUGUCUUUUGUAAGUUUCUUGUGAAUCCACAAUGGUUUUUUUAGGCUAUAUAUAUAAUUGCCCUGAAUUGGUCCACCCCUCGUAGUAUGUAACUAUCAAGUCAAAAGAAAAGUCUUUAAGAAAAUGAUAUAUCCUUGUCGUGUAAAGAAAAAAAAAAAA